This 496-nucleotide ribosomal RNA is filed under the name uncultured bacterium. RNAcentral's name for it is "partial 16S ribosomal RNA". It matches the Rfam family "Bacterial small subunit ribosomal RNA", at positions 28 to 506 of the family's 1533-position model. The record is from RNAcentral.
GAUGAACGCUGGCGGCGUGCCUAAUACAUGCAAGUCGAGCGAACAGACGAGGAGCUUGCUCCUCUGACGUUAGCGGCGGACGGGUGAGUAACACGUGGAUAACCUACCUAUAAGACUGGGAUAACUUCGGGAAACCGGAGCUAAUACCGGAUAAUAUAUUGAACCGCAUGGUUCAAUAGUGAAAGACGGUUUUGCUGUCACUUUUAGAUGGAUCCGCGCCGCAUUAGCUAGUUGGUAAGGUAACGGCUUACCAAGGCAACGAUGCGUAGCCGACCUGAGAGGGUGAUCGGCCACACUGGAACUGAGACACGGUCCAGACUCCUACGGGAGGCAGCAGUAGGGAAUCUUCCGCAAUGGGCGAAAGCCUGACGGAGCAACGCCGCGUGAGUGAUGAAGGUCUUCGGAUCGUAAAACUCUGUUAUUAGGGAAGAACAAAUGUGUAAGUAACUAUGCACGUCUUGACGGUACCUAAUCAGAAAGCCGCGGCUAACUACGU